CCUUGACCUCAAAUCAGGUAGGACUACCCGCUGAACUUAA
Molecule: ribosomal RNA, 40 nt
Filed under: Strobilomyces floccopus
Lineage: Eukaryota; Fungi; Basidiomycota; Agaricomycetes; Boletales; Boletaceae
Description: partial 28S ribosomal RNA
Source: RNAcentral